UACGGGGGGAGCGAGCGUUGUUCGGAAUCACUGGGCGUAAAGGGUGGGCAGGCGGGAAAUUAAGUCGAAUGUGAAAACCCCGGGCUUAACCCGGGGCCUGCAUUUGAAACUGAUUUUCUUGAGUAUCGGAGAGGAAAGUGGAACUCCAGGUGUAGCGGUGAAAUGCGUAGAUAUCUGGAGGAACACCUGUGGCGAAGGCGGCUUUCUGGCCGAAUACUGACGCUCAAGCACGAAGGCUAGGGGAG
Molecule: ribosomal RNA, 245 nt
Filed under: uncultured bacterium
Lineage: Bacteria
Description: partial 16S ribosomal RNA
Rfam family: Bacterial small subunit ribosomal RNA
Source: RNAcentral